This 456-nucleotide unclassified non-coding RNA is filed under the name uncultured fungus. RNAcentral's name for it is "partial contains small subunit ribosomal RNA, internal transcribed spacer 1, and 5.8S ribosomal RNA". The stretch from base 1 to 73 matches the Rfam family "Eukaryotic small subunit ribosomal RNA", at positions 1759 to 1831 of the family's 1831-position model. The record is from RNAcentral. Lineage: Eukaryota; Fungi.
GCAAACUUGGUCAUUUAGAGGAAGUAAAAGUCGUAACAAGGUCUCCGUAGGUGAACCUGCGGAGGGAUCAUUAACGAAUGGCCUCUUGACCUUCUACCCUCAAACACUGUGGACCCAGUUGUGCUUCGGCGCUCCGGCGCCGCCUUUAUGCGUCAAGUCGUUUGUGUCUUUGAAUCAAAUCUCAAAACUUUCAACAAAGGAUCUCUUGGCUCUCAGAGACAGGCAAACUUGGUCAUUUAGAGGAAGUAAAAGUCGUAACAAGGUCUCCGUAGGUGAACCUGCGGAGGGAUCAUUAACGAAUGGCCUCUUGACCUUCUACCCUCAAACACUGUGGACCCAGUUGUGCUUCGGCGCUCCGGCGCCGCCUUUAUGCGUCAAGUCGUUUGUGUCUUUGAAUCAAAUCUCAAAACUUUCAACAAAGGAUCUCUUGGCUCUCGCAUCGAUGAAGAACGCAGC